CAGCAUUUUACCCUGUGAAUAAGGAUAUUAUUCUCAAAGUAGUGUCCUUAAAAUUGGGAGAAUCCAUUUGGAAAUAUACAUGAUGCAGCAAGACUGUAUGGAUUCCUGGACCGAUGCUAUUGUUAAACAUUGGUAUGGUAACCCAAUGCUUGCCUGGGUUUGGGAUGGAAAGGAUUGUGAUGGACCUGGAAUACAAUCUAUUUUCUCACAAUAUGGGAAAGUCCAGUUCCUCCACAAAAAUAGUGAGUUAGGAACAUUUUUUUCUAUCG
Pelobates cultripes (western spadefoot toad) is the source of this 269-nucleotide non-coding RNA. The record is from the annotation of a GenBank genome assembly. Lineage: Eukaryota; Metazoa; Chordata; Amphibia; Anura; Pelobatidae.